This 429-nucleotide ribosomal RNA is filed under the name Chloroflexota bacterium. RNAcentral describes it as "Chloroflexi bacterium partial 16S ribosomal RNA". It matches the Rfam family "Bacterial small subunit ribosomal RNA", at positions 355 to 776 of the family's 1533-position model. Lineage: Bacteria; Bacillati; Chloroflexota. The record is from RNAcentral.
UGGGGAAUAUUUCACAAUGGGCGCAAGCCUGAUGCAGCCAUGCCGCGUGUGUGAAGCAGGCCUUCGGGUUGUAAAGCACUUUCAGCGGGGAGGAAGGCGAUAAGGUUAAUAACCUUGUCGAUUGACGUUACCCGCAGAAGAAGCACCGGCUAACUCCGUGCCAGCAGCCGCGGUAAUACGGAGGGUGCAAGCGUUAAUCGGAAUUACUGGGCGUAAAGCGCACGCAGGCGGUCUGUCAAGUCGGAUGUGAAAUCCCCGGGCUUAACCUGGGAACUGCAUUCGAAACUGGCAGGCUAGAGUCUUGUAGAGGGGGGUAGAAUUCCAGGUGUAGCGGUGAAAGGCGUAGAGAUCUGGAGGAAGACCGGUGGCGAAGGCGGCCCCCUGGACAAAGACUGACGCUCAGGUGCGAAAGCGUGGGGAGCAAACAGG